This is a long non-coding RNA of Symphalangus syndactylus (siamang), 969 nucleotides long. RefSeq lists it as uncharacterized. The record is from RefSeq and is a predicted model, not a curated record. NCBI's taxonomy places the organism in Eukaryota, Metazoa, Chordata, Mammalia, Primates, Hylobatidae.
CUCAGCCUCCCUUUCCAAGCUUCUGCGCGGCCUGUGUGCAGCUGCACUUAGCUGGCAGGGUCACGCGUUGAGUAGCCGCUCCGCUCCUUCUGCAGCCUCCUGCAGCCCGCGCCAGCUCCCGGGCUCUAUCCCUCACCAUCAGUUGCUGACUGGCACCCUCUGCGUGCACAGCGGAGGUUGACUACACUCUGGUGGUUCACAGCAAUUCCAGGCCGGCUCCAGCCUGGCCAAAGCAGCUAACUUCUCUGCUGUCUGGUGGGCUGAACCUCACCGUUUCCCAAGAGGAGCUGCCUGGCAAUGGUAGCAGGUGAAGGUCAUGGUGAAGAAGAUGCAGAUAUUGGCAAUUUGGAGCAUUAGAUGAGGAACACCAGGGAUAAUACAUGCCAAGGAACACCAAGGAUUACCAGCAAACACCAGAAGCCAGGAGAGAGGCAUGGAUUGUCCCUCAGAGCCUGCAGAAGGAAACAAGCUUGCUGAUAUCUUGAUUUUGUACUUCUGGCUUUCAGAACUGUGAGAGAAUACAUUUUUGUAAUUUUAAGUCACCAAGUUUGUGGAACUUUGUUACAACAGCCCUAGGACACUAGUACAGAUGGGAAGGGAGAAGCAUUCAUGGAAAUAAUUGCUUUGGAUGAUAAUAAGUAUGACUCAGAGAGAAGAAUAGAGGUGCAGGAUAUGUCUGGGGACUUACAGCAAAGAACACAUUUAGAGGAAGAUAGAAAUUUUGGUCUUAGAAUCUUCACACAAUUGGCUAGGGCAUAAUAUAUAAAAUAAAGUAAUGACAAAAGGUGGUAGGUGUGAUAUUUCAAAGUCACCAAAAAGUGGGCUGGAAAUUACUAUUUGGUAUAAAGGGAAACGAGAAGAAUAUACCUAUUACGUGGGAAGGAAAUUGUGUUGACAACAACAACAACAAAAGACAGAUUUAUGGAAAUCAGAGGGCCUGAGAGGGGAAUCAGGCCAGCAAAGCUUAGG